This 433-nucleotide ribosomal RNA is filed under the name uncultured bacterium. RNAcentral's name for it is "partial 16S ribosomal RNA". It matches the Rfam family "Bacterial small subunit ribosomal RNA", at positions 29 to 507 of the family's 1533-position model. The record is from RNAcentral.
AACGAACGCUGGCGGCAUGCCUAACACAUGCAAGUCGAACGAGACCUUCGGGUAUAGUGGCGCACGGGUGCGUAACGCGUGGGAACCUGCCCUUAGGUUCGGAAUAACUCCCCGAAAGGGGUGCUAAUACCGGAUAAUGUCUUCGGACCAAAGAUUUAUCGCCUUUGGAUGGGCCCGCGUUGGAUUAGCUAGUUGGUAGGGUAAAAGCCUACCAAGGCGACGAUCCAUAGCUGGUCUGAGAGGAUGAUCAGCCACACUGGGACUGAGACACGGCCCAGACUCCUACGGGAGGCAGCAGUGGGGAAUAUUGGACAAUGGGCGAAAGCCUGAUCCAGCAAUGCCGCGUGAGUGAUGAAGGCCUUAGGGUUGUAAAGCUCUUUUACCCGGGAUGAUAAUGACAUUACCGGGAGAAUAAGCUCCGGCUAACUCCGUG